GGUCUUAUGGUGUAGGGGUUAGCACUUCGGAUUCUGACGAGCCUUUGGGCUCAGCGAAUUCCGGCGACCCCGGUUCGAUUCCGGGUAAGACCU
Non-coding RNA from Dissoconium aciculare CBS 342.82, 93 nucleotides. The record is from the annotation of a RefSeq genome assembly. NCBI's taxonomy places the organism in Eukaryota, Fungi, Ascomycota, Dothideomycetes, Mycosphaerellales, Dissoconiaceae.